GAUGAACGCUGGCGGCGUGCUUAACACAUGCAAGUCGAACGAUGAAGCCCAGCUUGCUGGGUGGAUUAGUGGCGAACGGGUGAGUAACACGUGAGUAACCUGCCCUUGACUCUGGGAUAAGCCUGGGAAACUGGGUCUAAUACUGGAUAUGUCUUCUCAUCGCAUGGUGGGGGGUGGAAAGAUUUAUUGGUCUUGGAUGGACUCGCGGCCUAUCAGCUUGUUGGUGAGGUAAUGGCUCACCAAGGCGACGACGGGUAGCCGGCCUGAGAGGGUGACCGGCCACACUGGGACUGAGACACGGCCCAGACUCCUACGGGAGGCAGCAGUGGGGAAUAUUGCACAAUGGGCGCAAGCCUGAUGCAGCGACGCCGCGUGAGGGAUGACGGCCUUCGGGUUGUAAACCUCUUUCAGUAGGGAAGAAGCGAGAGUGACGGUACCUGCAGAAGAAGCGCCGGCUAACUACGUG
RNAcentral lists this ribosomal RNA (466 nucleotides) under uncultured bacterium. RNAcentral's name for it is "partial 16S ribosomal RNA". It matches the Rfam family "Bacterial small subunit ribosomal RNA", at positions 28 to 507 of the family's 1533-position model. The record is from RNAcentral.